Molecule: transfer RNA, 73 nt
Filed under: Danio rerio (zebrafish)
Lineage: Eukaryota; Metazoa; Chordata; Actinopteri; Cypriniformes; Danionidae
Rfam family: tRNA
About the family: Transfer RNA (tRNA) molecules are approximately 80 nucleotides in length. Their secondary structure includes four short double-helical elements and three loops (D, anti-codon, and T loops). Further hydrogen bonds mediate the characteristic L-shaped molecular structure. tRNAs have two regions of fundamental functional importance: the anti-codon, which is responsible for specific mRNA codon recognition, and the 3' end, to which the tRNAs corresponding amino acid is attached (by aminoacyl-tRNA synthetases). tRNAs cope with the degeneracy of the genetic code in two manners: having more than one tRNA (with a specific anti-codon) for a particular amino acid; and 'wobble' base-pairing, i.e. permitting non-standard base-pairing at the 3rd anti-codon position.
Source: Rfam by way of RNAcentral
GCAUUGGUAGUUCAGUGGUAGAGCUCUCACUUGCCACGUGGGAGGACCGGGUGUUCGAUUCCUGGCCAAUGAA